This is a long non-coding RNA of Mytilus californianus (California mussel), 626 nucleotides long. RefSeq lists it as uncharacterized. The transcript is spliced from 3 exons. The record is from RefSeq and is a predicted model, not a curated record. NCBI's taxonomy places the organism in Eukaryota, Metazoa, Mollusca, Bivalvia, Mytilida, Mytilidae.
AGCAAGCACAUAAUUUUCCCCGGAAAGCUGUACUUGACGGGAUAUUACUUAAAAUAAUGGUUUAAUUAAAUGAAACAACUAAAAUUCAUAACGUUUGGAAAAUCAUGGAUUUAUAUAUAUAUUGUCUACUGUUUUCUUUUGUAAAAGGUGAAGAGGUUACAGUAGAUAAAAAGUCCGAUGGAGAUAUAACACUUACAAGUUCGAAUCCACAUAACUUUCCAUCCUGCCAAUGGCAACGUGAGUCAUCACAAGGUCAAUUUGAAGAUCUUACCAAAAGCGAGGAGGACAAGUAUAAAAACAGAGGAACAACAAUAAUGACAAUUAAAUCGUUUAACUUUGCUGAUCGUGGAUCAUACCGUUGUAAAUGUUAUGAUAGGAUUAAUGAUUGUAAAUACAGCUCUAGUAUUACAAUUGAUAUAGCAGACAUAAGUACAGAACAGCGAUUAAACUGUAGAUAUACUGGAACUCAUUACAAAUGGAAGCGAAAAGGUAAAAGAAUCAACGAUAACAGAAAAUACUCUAACACUUCGUCAAAAGUUCUUACGCUAUUUAAUGUUGAUUGGAAUGCAGAAGGUAUAUACAGAUGUGAAUAUUAUCAUUAUAGAUGGCAACCUGUGGAUUUUUAU